This 442-nucleotide ribosomal RNA is filed under the name uncultured bacterium. Its description in RNAcentral is "bacterial SSU rRNA". It matches the Rfam family "Bacterial small subunit ribosomal RNA", at positions 338 to 795 of the family's 1533-position model. The record is from RNAcentral.
CCUACGGGUGGCAGCAGUGGGGAAUUUUCCGCAAUGGGCGAAAGCCUGACGGAGCAACGCCGCGUGGGUGAUGAAGGUUUUAGGAUUGUAAAGCCCUUUCAGUCGGGACGAGACGAAGACGGUACCGACAGAAGAAGCAUCGGCUAACUACGUGCCAGCAGCCGCGGUAAGACGUAGGAUGCGAGCGUUGUCCGGAAUUAUUGGGCGUAAAGCGUACGUAGGCGGUCCAUUAAGUCUGGGGUUAAAGACCGAGGCUCAACCUCGGGGGUGCCCUGGAAACUGAUGGACUGGAGGACGGUAGAGGAAGGUGGAAUUCCCAGUGUAGCGGUGAAAUGCGUAGAUAUUGGGAGGAACACCGGUGGCGAAAGCGGCCUUCUGGGCCGUUCCUGACGCUGAGGUACGAAAGCCAGGGGAGCAAACGGGAUUAGAUACCCCUGUAGUC